GUGAGGAAUAUUGCGCAAUGGAGGCAACUCUGACGCAGCCAUGCCGCGUGCAGGAAGAAGGCGCUACGCGUUGUAAACUGCUUUUAACCGGGAAGAAACCCCAGGACGUGUCCUGGGUUGACGGUACCGGAGGAAUAAGCACCGGCUAACUUCGUGCCAGCAGCCGCGGUAAUACGAAGGGUGCAAGCGUUAUCCGGAUUCAUUGGGUUGAAAGGGUGCGUAGGCGGAGCGUUAAGUCAGUGGUGAAAUCCUGCAGCUUAACUGUAGACUUGCCAUUGAUACUGGCGCUCUUGAGUGCGCUUGAAGUGGGCGGAAUGUGCCGUGUAGCGGUGAAAUGCUUAGAUAUGGCACAGAACACCAAUUGCGAAGGCAGCUCACUAAGGCGAUACUGACGCUGAGGCACGAAAGCGUGGGGAUCGAACAGGAUUAGAAACCCUAGUAGUCC
This 445-nucleotide ribosomal RNA is filed under the name uncultured bacterium. RNAcentral describes it as "partial 16S ribosomal RNA". It matches the Rfam family "Bacterial small subunit ribosomal RNA", at positions 354 to 796 of the family's 1533-position model. The record is from RNAcentral.